Long non-coding RNA from Bos taurus (domestic cattle), 703 nucleotides. NCBI's taxonomy places the organism in Eukaryota, Metazoa, Chordata, Mammalia, Artiodactyla, Bovidae. The record is from Ensembl.
GUCCCAGUUACUCAAUUCUGCCAAUGCAGUAUGGAAGUAACUAUAGACAAUCCAUACACAGAUGAACAUGGCUGUGUUCCAAAACAACUUUAUUUGCAAAAGCACAUGGAAAUGAUUUGAAUGACUGUGCUCUCAGUUCUCCAGAAGAUGGCAAAGACCCAGAGCAGGGGUUCUCAAAGGGUGUUCCUCAGUCAGUCCUGUACCACUGGCGUCAUCUGAGAACCUGAUGGAGAGUCAUUGUAGAAACAACAGCCUGCCUCCUGCUGCAUGUGGUAAGAAUGUGGUCUGUGAAGACACCAACCUACAGAAGAAGUGAACACAAGGAGUACACAGAUGAAAGUAUCAGAGAAACGAAGUUGCAUCCCUAAAGGAGCCACUCCAAACUCACCCUACGUCUAGAUGUUCCAUUUACUUGAUCCAGCUUUAGGUGAAUUCUCCAGCUUUUCCAUCUGAAAUCACAAGAAAAAAUGAGGCCACAGAGAGGUAUCAGAAGGAAAACAUGUUUCUGAGGGCCUGACUGAACUGCUCUCCUUUCUCCCUGAAGAUCUGGGCAAUGCAGACCCUCCCUUCAUCACCAGAAUGUCUGGUGGGGGACAGCACAGGCAUCCUGCACCCCAGCUGCGUGUCAGGCCGGCUGCAAUGCUUGUUUAUUAGUGAAAUGCAUCUGAUCAGAGAGGCCAGUCUGACAAGUUCAUUACAUAUC